AUGUGACAGGCCUAGCAACGUACAGUUUUAAAUAAAUGACGUAUCUGCUGGAAGGUUAACAGAGGUAAUCUAUAUAUCUACUUGUUUCUCCCAUAUACGCAGUUAUCGGUUGCUUCUUUUAUUCUAUGCUAUUUCUUAUGCACAUUGACAAAGGCCUUUCUUUUCAUUCUGUCCAAAUUCAAAAUAUCCCUAUUUUUUACAAAAGCUGUUAAAUAACAAAUAAUACGAAUGUGUCAAUAUUGACGUAGAUGUAUAUAUAUUUACCUGUAUAAAUUCUAUUUUGAAACAUAAUAGCCUCUUUAAAUCGUUUUAGGAUGAAUAAACGUGUAUUCAUUGCAGACCGGAACUUCUUAAUAUAAACACGAAAGCACAGAACCAACUUGAAUGAUUGCAGUGUCAUUUAUUUAUAGUGAUAUUUACCAAUGAAAUAUCAAAUAUAAAGGAAGGGGUCUUUUUAUCAAAUCCAGGGACAUUUGAUAACAGUAAGCAGUAAGUGAUUUCAAUAAAACACAGGAGGGGUUUGAUACAAUAUUUCACCUUCACAGGUCAGAUCCACG
Molecule: long non-coding RNA, 557 nt
Filed under: Mytilus galloprovincialis (Mediterranean mussel)
Lineage: Eukaryota; Metazoa; Mollusca; Bivalvia; Mytilida; Mytilidae
Source: RNAcentral